GGAACAACAGUUUUAUUUUCUCAACAUAAAUAAAACUUUAAUACCUAUCCUGCUUCAUUCUUACAAACCACUUUCCCUCUCUAGAAACUAAACCCUAUUAAGCUUUGCCUUCUCUCUAGCCCAUUCGUCACUGAAUCAAUUGUUUGUUGAUUAGGGAAAUUCUGAGAAAUCUUGAAGCUGAGAACAACCAUUUCUACCGAUCAAUUCCACUGUCCAUAUACUGGUACUUUCAAAUUUCUCUAGGGUGCAAGGGUGUGGUUGAAGUCUCCUUAAGCUUGGUUGUCGAUUAGAGAAGUUGAUGAUGAGGUGCCUUUGGAGCAAGCGUUGGAGACUGAAGGAGACCCAACUCCUACUUCUUAGAUUUCCUAUAGUCUUAUCUAAAUAACUCUUCAUUUUGAAAGACUUCUAGCUUUUACUUCUCAUGAUCUGUAUUUUGGAAUUACUCUUUAGGCACCCUUAGACCUUUAGUUGUCUUGUAUUUUGAAGAACUCUCAAUCUUGUAUUUAAAUUAUAAAUUUCAACCAUAUUUUGGAUGACUGUAUGCCUAAUACUGUCCUCUAUUAACUCCUAAUUGCUUUCUCGUACUAUAAUAGCUGAAUCCUAUUAUAUGUACGUCUAUAUAAUAUUUGG
Molecule: long non-coding RNA, 630 nt
Organism: Vigna radiata var. radiata (mung bean)
Lineage: Eukaryota; Viridiplantae; Streptophyta; Magnoliopsida; Fabales; Fabaceae
Exons: 3
Source: RefSeq, a predicted model, not a curated record